GCUUGUCUCAAAGAUUAAGCCAUGCAUGUCUAAGUAUAAGCCUUUGUACGGCGAAACUGCGAAUGGCUCAUUAAAACAGUUAUAGUUUAUUCGAUAAUCAAUUGCUACAUGGAUAACUGUAGUAAUUCUAGAGCUAAUACAUGCGUCAGAACCCAACUUUACGGAAGGGUCGUGUUUAUUAGAUACAAAACCAACAUCUCGUUGGUGAUUCAUAAUAACCAAGCGAAUCGUCGGUUUACCGACGAUAGAUCGUUCAAGUUUCUGCCCUAUCAACUGUCGACUGUGAUAUAGACGCUCACAGUGGUUUUGACGGGUAACGGGGAAUCAGGGUUCGAUUCCGGAGAGGGAGCCUUAAAAACGGCUACCACAUCCAAGGAAGGCAGCAGG
RNAcentral lists this ribosomal RNA (387 nucleotides) under uncultured Prorocentrum. RNAcentral's name for it is "partial small subunit ribosomal RNA". It matches the Rfam family "Eukaryotic small subunit ribosomal RNA", at positions 30 to 432 of the family's 1831-position model. Lineage: Eukaryota; Dinophyceae; Prorocentrales; Prorocentraceae. The record is from RNAcentral.